AGCAGUGUUACCCCAGAUAGCUAAACCAUGGAGCCCAUUCGUAUACCAAAAGACUUUGGCUCCAUGGCAAUUGAACUGUAUGUAUGUAUGUGAUCUGAGCGCCAUCGGGUAGUAAUGGGCACUCAGAUCUAAGCUAUCUGGGGCUAGGUAGAAUGAGUAUGUUCUAUGUGAUGAAUGUAACAGUACGUAUUUUUAUGUCUUUUAUUGUCCUUUG
Non-coding RNA from Pelobates cultripes (western spadefoot toad), 214 nucleotides. The record is from the annotation of a GenBank genome assembly. NCBI's taxonomy places the organism in Eukaryota, Metazoa, Chordata, Amphibia, Anura, Pelobatidae.